This is a long non-coding RNA of Danio rerio (zebrafish), 1885 nucleotides long. Lineage: Eukaryota; Metazoa; Chordata; Actinopteri; Cypriniformes; Danionidae. The record is from Ensembl.
GUGGCAACGCUGGUUCGAGCCUCAGCUGAGUCAGUUGGUGUUUCUGUGUGGAGUUUGCAUGUUCUCCCUGCGUUCGCGUGGGUUUCCUCCGGUUGCUUCAACUUCCCCCACAGUCCAAAGACACGCGGAACAGUGGCAACGCUGGUUCGAGCCUCGGCUGGGUCAGUUGGUGUUUCUAUGUGGAGUUUGCAUGUUCUCCCUGCGUUCGAGUGGGUUUCCUCCGGUUGCUUCGACUUCUUCAACAGUCUAAAGACACGCGGAACAGGCACAGCUUUAACACAACAGCAGCCUUUUCAAAGUGGACAGAAUUCUUUGAGAUUCAAUCUAAAGCUAAGUAUUUUGUUUCAGUUGUUUGUACUGCCUUGUAAUACAGUCACAUUUUCAGCAUAAUGUUAAAUCUUAGUCUCAUUCAAGUGUUGUGUUUUUUUUAUGUUUUUACUACCAGAAGACCCAAGAAGAUGUGUUGACUGAGAAAACAAAUGUCCUGCAGUAUUGUUGAGGAAGACAUCUGCCUAACUAUAUAUUGGAGAAGACCAGGUGUAUGCGCACUACGGCAUUGCAGAAUGAUGGACCAGAGGAAGAACAUCUCUAAUACAGAGGUAUUCUGAAACAAGAGAAGAACAGGUGUUUGGCAUUGCACACCACAGAAUUGCAGGAUGACGGACCAGAGGAUAUACAGUCUGUGCAUGCCAGAUCCAGAGGCCAGAUGGUGGAAGACGGUGUCCUGCAACAUUUUAGAUAAUUUUAACGUUGUUUAAAAAUGUUAUUAGCUUAUACAUUUAAAAAAUGUUAUGUUAUGUGCCACGCCCAAGAAAGAUGGGUACUCCCUUGCUGAGUCUGGUCUUUCCAAGGUUUCUCUCCAAACUUUUUGGAGUUUUUUUCCUUGCCACAGUCGCCAAUGGCUUGCUCACAGGGGGUGUUGUGCCAAGUCCUGUCUUCCCCUCGUGUCCUUUAUCUUUAAACUUAGAUUCCAUAGUAAUUUAGCCAUACAAAUGUUAAUAAAAAGGAGCUUAAAAUUAAUUUAAAACAAGUAAAAAUAGGCUUAAGAGUACAAAUAAAGCUUAGUCAAUCAUAUCAUCACAAUUUAGGAUAUUUAUAUGCAGCUUAGGUUUGAAUAUAUUUGCCAUUAAUAAAUACUAAUGAGUAAAAUGUUUGCACCAUAAACUAUUAAUUGUUAUAAAUCAAUGUAACUUUUUUUUUUCUCAGAUUAGAGCCGCAAAUUAUUUGCAGAAAGGGACAGUAGGUCAGGUAAAAAUUGAUUAUCAUCACAUAUGGCCAAAGUACAUUUUUACUUUAAACAACGUAAAAAAAUAAUAAAACCCAUUAGCAUUUAGAUCAGUUUCUUAGGGCACUUUAAUAUUAAUUAAUUAAUAAUAAUAAUAACAACAAAACUUUUGUGUUUAUAGCUGGCAUGGUCUUUAUUAAAUAAACAUUCCCAGCACCAAUUUAUAGCAAAUAAUCAUGUCAUUUUAUUAUUUUUAAUUAAACUAUGUUUAGCAGGGUGGUUGAACUGCAGAUUUAUUUAUAAAUUUAACUCUGCCACUGUACACAGUAUGUGAUAGUGCACUGAAUGAGGUUUUAAAUUAAAAUCAACCAUUUUAAAUGCACAUAUAUAUAUAUAAUAUUAUAUAAUUUAUUAUAAUAUAUAAUUAAUAUAAUAUAUUAUAGUAUAAAAAUUAGUAUAAUUUACAAUGAUGUGUUUAAGAAAAACAUCCAUAUUGGAAUUAAACAGUCAUUAGGUAGACUUUAUUAUUGCUCUAUUGCUUAAUUCAUUAUUCUAACAUUUUAGUAGGUGUGACUGGGAUCAGACUGGUGGACAGGAUUUGGCACAACAGGCUUUUUUUUAAUCAAUUUAAUAAACAAUUUGGUUUAAUUGGCACAGUCA